Etheostoma cragini (Arkansas darter) is the source of this 155-nucleotide long non-coding RNA. RefSeq lists it as uncharacterized. The transcript has 3 exons. NCBI's taxonomy places the organism in Eukaryota, Metazoa, Chordata, Actinopteri, Perciformes, Percidae. The record is from RefSeq and is a predicted model, not a curated record.
UCUUUGUGUCUUCAUUAACCAGAGGUGUGUUCUAGGCGUAACAUCCAAUCGACCAAUCAGAGGUCAUCUCCCAUUCACUUUAACAGCCAGGCACAUUUGGACCUUGGAGCAUUGCUGUUAUAAUGGAGGAUUUUCACCCUAAUAUUAUUAUUAGU